UGGGGAAUUUUGGACAAUGGACGCAAGUCUGAUCCAGCCAUGCCGCGUGCGGGAAGAAGGCCUUCGGGUUGUAAACCGCUUUUGUCAGGGAAGAAACGAGUUUCUCUAAUACAGAGACUUAAUGACGGUACCUGAAGAAUAAGCACCGGCUAACUACGUGCCAGCAGCCGCGGUAAUACGUAGGGUGCGAGCGUUAAACGGAAUUACUGGGCGUAAAGCGUGCGCAGGCGGUUAUGUAAGACAGAUGUGAAAUCCCCGGGCUCAACCUGGGAACUGCCUUUGUGACUGCAUAGCUAGAGUACGGUAGAGGGGGAUGGAAUUCCGCGUGUAGCAGUGAAAUGCGUAGAUAUGCGGAGGAACACCGAUGGCGAAGGCAAUCCCCUGGGCCUGUACUGACGCUCAUGCACGAAAGCGUGGGGAGCAAACA
Molecule: ribosomal RNA, 427 nt
Filed under: uncultured bacterium
Lineage: Bacteria
Description: bacterial SSU rRNA
Rfam family: Bacterial small subunit ribosomal RNA
Source: RNAcentral